GAUGAACGCUGGCGGCGUGCCUAAUACAUGCAAGUCGAGCGAACAGACGAGGAGCUUGCUCCUCUGACGUUAGCGGCGGACGGGUGAGUAACACGUGGAUAACCUACCUAUAAGACUGGGAUAACUUCGGGAAACCGGAGCUAAUACCGGAUAAUAUAUUGAACCGCAUGGUUCAAUAGUGAAACACGGUUUUGCUGUCACUUAUAGAUGGUUCCGCGCCGCAUUAGCUAGUUGGUAAGGUAACGGCUUACCAAGGCAACGAUGCGUAGCCGACCUGAGAGGGUGAUCGGCCACACUGGAACUGAGACACGGUCCAGACUCCUACGGGAGGCAGCAGUAGGGAAUCUUCCGCAAUGGGCGAAAGCCUGACGGAGCAACGCCGCGUGAGUGAUGAAGGUCUUCGGAUCGUAAAACUCUGUUAUUAGGGAAGAAAAAAUGUGUAAGUAACUAUGCACGUCUUGACGGUACCUAAUCAGAAAGCAACGGCUAACUACGUG
This 497-nucleotide ribosomal RNA is filed under the name uncultured bacterium. RNAcentral describes it as "partial 16S ribosomal RNA". It matches the Rfam family "Bacterial small subunit ribosomal RNA", at positions 28 to 507 of the family's 1533-position model. The record is from RNAcentral.